Molecule: long non-coding RNA, 1503 nt
Organism: Heterocephalus glaber (naked mole-rat)
Lineage: Eukaryota; Metazoa; Chordata; Mammalia; Rodentia; Bathyergidae
Source: Ensembl
AAUUGAUAUCCUAUCUUUAGAUGCCUACCUGUCCCUCAGGGCAAUAUGGGCCUCUCCCAUGGGUUUCCCACAGAGGUUAGCAUCCCAGAUAGACCUAGUAUUUUCAAAUAUGACCCAAUUGUUGGACAAUUUUUUUUCUGUAUUCAACAGUUGGAAUGCACAUAAGGAUAAAAGAAGAGAGGCUGAAAAAAAAAGACCAACAUUGAAAAUUAUGGUUAUUGCAAUUGGCAAAGCUUUAAGCAUAUCCAAGGCAUCUGAGGGAAAACCCAGGGCCAAUGAUACAUCUUGGAUGGCUGUAUACCAUUCAUGUACGAGUGCAGCUAGAGACAGGUGGAGGAACACAGUCCUGCUGAAAAAUGCUGACCUCUCAAUCUUGGAUAUGCUUAUGAACAUUUACGAACAUGAUCAGAUCAACCCUCAGAUCCCAUAUUCCUAAAGGAUACCAUUAAGAGCAGCUUCCUGUAUCAUGGCGCCAAAGUGUACACAAUGAGUGAGUCACCCAGAGUCCUCAGCUAACUAGACUGACUUCUUCUGUAAUUUCUACUGCCUGCGAGCUGCAUUCAAAGGAUCCUGGGGGACCAACAAGCCACGCAAUGUCAACAAAACAUGGAGGAAGCUUGCAUUAGGGAAGAAGAUUUUGGGUUGGAUGAGCUGUCAAAUGAGACUUGCUGGCCAGAGAAUAGAAUCCUCCUUUGUCAGGAGACUGUGACCUUUGAAGAUGUAGCUGUGAAUUUUACCAAGGCAGAAUGGACUUUGCUGAAUCUACCCCAAAAGAAGCUCUACAGAGAUGUGAUGUGGGAAACAUGUAUGCAUAUGACUGCUAGAGGAAGAACUUGUGGUAACCAGUAUAUGGAAGAACAGUAUAAAAAUUGUUCAAGAGCCACUAUUUCUACUCUGUGAGAAGCACACUGACAUUUAUCUAGCUAUAUUAUUUCCCAUUGUAAUACAUCUUACACGAUACUUUCCAGCAUCUGCAUUGUAAGCAAUAAUGCAUUUUUUUUCAAUUUUGUCCUUGUUCUUCCUCUACCUCCAACUCUGAAACUGUCACUCUUAUACCCCCAACAGACUCAUAUAAAAGUUUUAUAAAACUUUUAUUUUUUUUUCCAAUGACUACUGAAGGAAUUGAAAACAAGUGCAAUGUUUUUAUAUCAGUCAGUCUCAAUAAUAUAUAUGUAAUAUAUAAUCAUAUUCCAUGGAAGAUGAGUUAUCUUUGGCAUGGUUUAUGCCAUGUCUCAGAUUUACCUGAAGAAUUCUUGUGGUAUAACACAAUAAAAAUACCAUGUGGGCCAAAUAGACAUUCUAUUUUAUGUUGUGUAAUAAUGUACAUUAGGGAAGUAAGACAUUAAUAAUACUUUGUAAAACAAAUGAAUGAAAUAAAAGAGGUUAAAUUACUUCCCUAGACUUAUAACUGUUAAGAAGAAGCCAACAAUUUUUCCAAAAACUAAGUCAAACCUGUUAGUGCAGAUGAAAGGAGGAAUAAAUACUUUUAAAUGAAAAUAUUCC